CCUACGGGUGGCAGCAGUGGGGAAUAUUGCGCAAUGGGCGAAAGCCUGACGCAGCGACGCCGCGUGAGGGAUGAAGGUCUUCGGAUCGUAAACCUCUGUCAGCAGGGAAGAACGGUCACUGUGCUAAUCAGCAGUGAAUUGACGGUACCUGCAAAGGAAGCACCGGCUAAAUCCGUGCCAGCAGCCGCGGUAAUAAGGAGGGUGCGAGCGUUAAUCGGAAUUACUGGGCGUAAAGCGCUCGUAGGCGGUAGGUCAAGUCAAGGGUGAAAUCCCCGGGCUCAACGUGGGAACUGCCUUUGAAACUGGCAAACUGGAGUGUGUGAGAGGAUAGUGGAAGUCCAGGUGUAGGAGUGAAAUGCGUAGAUAUCUGGAGGAACAUCAGUGGCGAAGGCGACUAUCUGGCACAUAACUGACGCUGAGGAGCGAAAGCGUGGGUAGCAAACAGGAUUAGAUACCCGAGUAGUC
RNAcentral lists this ribosomal RNA (465 nucleotides) under uncultured bacterium. RNAcentral's name for it is "partial 16S ribosomal RNA". It matches the Rfam family "Bacterial small subunit ribosomal RNA", at positions 338 to 795 of the family's 1533-position model. The record is from RNAcentral.